Long non-coding RNA from Camelina sativa (false flax), 2052 nucleotides. RefSeq lists it as uncharacterized. Lineage: Eukaryota; Viridiplantae; Streptophyta; Magnoliopsida; Brassicales; Brassicaceae. The record is from RefSeq and is a predicted model, not a curated record.
UCCCUUGCUUGUAAACUCUCUCUUAUCUUUGUUCAAUCUUAAGCUCCAAAAUCGAUUUCGAAUCGCCGUUGACUAUCACCGUGAUUUAGCAACGGUUUUCUCAUCCGAUUGUUACUUCUCUUCCACUAUCCACCGUUGGGUGACUCGAUUUCGAAACUUUAGCCAGAAAUCUCUAUAGUAGAUCUCUCUCUUAUGCAUAUCUGGGCUUUUGCAUUUGAUCAUCCGAUGAUUGCUUAUGGCAGUUGACCUUUGAUUAUUUUCAUAUGGCAGUCUAAUGCUUUUGUUAAUUCAUCUUCUGCUUUCUAAUUCAAUUUCAAUGUAUAAUUUUUUCGUACUUUCUUGUCCGAUGAGAAUCGAAUCACAUCGUCGGUUCUUGAUUUAUUUUGGGCUGACCAUGAUCUAAUUUGAGUUGCCACUUCACGAAAUUUGAUUAGUUGGUCAGUAUUUUUUGUCAUCUAUAAUUGGCUAAUCUAAUUUUUAGGAAACUUUGGGAUACUUUGACCGGAGAUGUCCUGCAUUCUUUUGAGCACAAGCAUAUUGUUCGAACCCGCACCUUCUCCCAUGUAUAUAAACAACUUCUUUGCUUCUUUAAGAUUUUUCUGACAUAAGAUUCAUUAGACUAUGUUGUACUGAUCUUGCUAUACAUGUAUCCGUUCAUUGUUCUUUUGUUAUGCUUUAAGGUUUGUAUUAUGUAAAAAUCAUGUAAGGACAUGAUUAUGCUCUAACAUGGUUCUUUCUUCAAGAUUUGCAAUUUCUAAUCACGAGAGGAUUUGAGAAAAAAAUUCGUGUUUUCGACUUGAAUCGCUUUGAUGGCACCUCCUACAGAAAUUGAUAAAUCUCUUGGUUCUAUUAGAACAGUAACAUGGCUUCACGUUGACCAAACAAUAUUAACUUCUUGCACUGAUAUUGGUGGUGUCAUGUAUAAAGUAUAUAUCUCAUUAAGAAAAAAAAAACAUUCACGGUUGCAUACCUAGAGAAAAACAGGUUGUCGGACGUGAGGACUCGUAAAAACAUUGACUAUUGAUUCUUUUUGUUGAUGGUUGAUCUCAACUUUGUCACUGUCCAUCUGCAAUUUCUUCCUCUACUCAUCAGUUUAUCUUGGUAAUUUCUCUAAUUCUCUAAAACAUAUAUGAGUUUUGUUUUUUUUUGUUUUACCAAAUUGAAAAACAGCAAUAAGAGAGGGUGGAUUUGGUCAGAAGAAGAAUCUCAACUGCUUCACGCGUAAUUGCAUGAGCAUAUGACAACGAAGAAGCAGCAGCACAUACGAUCUGGCUGCUCUCGAGUAUUGGGGACCCGACACACCAUCUUGAAUUUUUCGGUAAACCGAAAAAAGAAAUCAGAUUGAUGGGGUUUGAUGAUGCAUGUUGUUAUAGAAUUAGUUUUGAUUUGUAUCUCGUCGAUCUUGGUGGUGGCGAGUUUAAUAAAAAUAUGUAGGCAUGGCCAUUUUACUCUCCCUAUAUUGACAAAAUGUUUAUGUCACCAAAUCAUUGGGGUUUCUUUUAUUUAAUCAUGGAUUCAAAUGCAGGAUUGUAGGCCUGGCAAAGCAUGGGGAAUUGCUCAAAAAGAUGUUGGCUAGGAUAGAGUAAGAACAUAGAUCGGUCUUUCAUUUCUUUCAACCGGAGGUUUGGCACUUCUUCAUGUAGUUCUUUUAAGUUGAGAUUGCUUCAUAAAAUUCUUGAUGGACGACAUGGAAAAGAUGAAGAAACAGAAAGAAAGAGAAGAUGUGUGAACUGAAUAUGAAUCUUAGCAAAUUUGGAGAACAAAUUGGUGGUGGAAGUACGAAGAAACCCGCAGAGGGGAAACAUAAGCUAGACGAGAGAGUCCUCAAAUCAAUUGUAGAGUAUUUCAAGGGUAGUGUUCUUGAUAUGCAUUUGCUACAUUCUUGUUCUUGAAGAACUAACGACAGAGAUAAGAAGAUUACCAAUUACGGUAAGACCAAGAUCUGAGGAGAAAUUGGAGGAGGCAAAGAGAAUAGAGGACAAAAGAAAAGAGACAAUAAGAGGAAAGGCAAGUAACCGUGGUAACAAAAAGUCAGAAAUAAAAAUUACUAUU